Molecule: microRNA precursor, 146 nt
Filed under: Mus caroli (Ryukyu mouse)
Lineage: Eukaryota; Metazoa; Chordata; Mammalia; Rodentia; Muridae
Description: miRNA (MGP_CAROLIEiJ_G0007716.1)
Source: RNAcentral
UGUGACAAAGCAAUGGAAAGGUAUGCUGUGAAUGUAAAAUAAUACUUCAUACAUUUUUUCAUUUUUCAAUCUUUCCUUUAAGACUGUUCAUAUUUGUGACAAACUUUUCAUAACAAAAACAUUUCAAAGUUAGAGAAGUUUGUCAU